AUGCAGCUGACGAGUCCCAAACAGGACAAGACACGCGUCCUAU
Non-coding RNA from Schistosoma margrebowiei, 43 nucleotides. The record is from Rfam. NCBI's taxonomy places the organism in Eukaryota, Metazoa, Platyhelminthes, Trematoda, Strigeidida, Schistosomatidae.